This is a long non-coding RNA of Micropterus salmoides (largemouth bass), 1998 nucleotides long. RefSeq lists it as uncharacterized. The record is from RefSeq and is a predicted model, not a curated record. The transcript is spliced from 5 exons. Lineage: Eukaryota; Metazoa; Chordata; Actinopteri; Centrarchiformes; Centrarchidae.
AAAUGUAAGAAAAAUUGGAGAGCUAAAGAGUGAGGCCGCUUUUAUUCUACAUUUGUCUUAUUGUCAGCAAAUCCCAUGGAAAGACCAAAACCAACAAAGAACUGAUCCUACUAACAAGUGUUGUCUGUGUAUCCACAGCCUGAUAUAUUGUAUUCCUCUGUGCUAUAGAGCAUUGUUGUUUUGAAUAAUUUUGUUGUCCAAAAACCUUUCAAAACACAUCAAUGAGCCUCACCGUUGCUCUGGGUGACAUGAACCUCAUUACCAUGAACAAACACACACACACACACACACACACACACACACACACACACACACACACUGUAGUUUGUAUUUUGAUUCAAUCACACAUAAACCGUCCUGCUGCUGUAUGUGCCAAAUGGACUUUACUCCUGUUUGAGUCAUAUUUGCUAGAAGCUACAGUGCCCAGUUGUGAGUCUUCUUUAAAAAUUAAACUAUAUUUGUAACCUGUUUUUUUCAAGAUUUAUGUCUUCCUGGAAGGAAUGGGCGAGGCACCACAGAGUAGAGAAGUUGGAAGACAUCUCUUUAUCAUUGAGAAGCUGCUGUGAAACUGUGGCUCCUGAAUAAUAUUUGCAACAGAACAUGAGCUCAGAGGGCGAAGACAGAGUUACAUGAUUCUGGAUGCUCGUCAACAUAAACUCUGACCGCAACUUGCAAGCUAUGUUAUUUGUGGUGGCAAGCUAUCCUUAAAGUGAUGGUCCAGCCAAAAACUGAAGACAUUUUGAGUUUGAGACAGGGAUACUGUAAGUUCUUAUCAAAACAUCGACAAACCAAAUCUCAAAGAAGAUCUGUAGCAUAAUUUGUUUCUCCACUGUCCAUCUGUAUUCUCAGCAUGAUCCACUAUCCACUUUUUAUUACACUACACUUAUAUUUUCACUAAAGUUGGCUACGUACACCACUUCUGUCUGUCCUCGCAGCAUGUCUCCUGCCCUCAUUGGUCAAGGGUGCUACUCUAUCCUAGCUCAGUCAUUUGGACACUUCUCUCUAGAAUUUGAAUUUGUCUAAAGUACACAGUUUCUUCAAGUGCAACUUUCAAGAGCACAUCAAAAUACUGACAUUAACAUUAUCACACAACUAAACCUGUUAUACUUCAUUUAAAUGGCUAAAAAUGACAAUUCUCUUUUCCGGAAACUGGCAGCAGAAAUGUUUACUUGUAUGUGUGUAUGUCUGCGUUUGUAUGUUGUGUGUAUGUUUUGUCACCUUGGCUGUUGGUGCCUCUGCUAGACGAAUGAAGAGUCUGUUGAUGCCAGGAACUGGGCUGAAGGAGUAGAUGAAGUGACUAUCCUGAACGUUUGAAGACAAAAAGGAAUAAAUUAGAAAACAUAAGUAUAUUGCCAUUUAAUAUAAUACAAUUAAUCAAAUAAAUUAAAUAACACUGAAGUACAUGCGUCCCAUGGGGGAACAAUGAAAGCUACGACAUUAAGUUUUUGUUAAGAACCAACCAAGAAGAUGGGCAGCUGGAACUUGUCAUUGAGCACCACGGCGUGAACGCUGCAGGGUCCACAGAGCCUGGCUGUGAUUUCACUCAGGAAGUUAGCAUGGAAGAUGAAGAGGAGGAUGCCUGAGCCUGGAACGGGAGGGAGGGACAGAGAUAAGAAGGAAGGAUCAAGAGCCAAACUCCAUGGAGAAGUCCGGUCCCUCACAAAGCCUGUGGCAGGCAAGAGGGAAGACAGGCUCCAGCAGCACCAGGCGAGACUCAAAGUAUGCUCGAAUGGUGUCAUCCGCCACACUGGACAGCCUGAGAAAUGGAGAGAUGGGCAGAGGAUGAGCCGAGAGGUACAGGAUGGAUAAAUGGACAACACCACAAAUUCACACCCAAAUGCAGGAAUUUGAUUUUUAAACCACUGCAGCCUUCACCCGUUCCCCAUUAUCAGUGUUGAGACUGUGGCUGGCACUCACAUGCUGAUGUGGUCCUUAAUGAGGUCGCACACCAUCAGGUUGUUGCUGAGCUUGGCGAAGUGCAUGGCCGUUGUCUUGUGU